This 483-nucleotide long non-coding RNA is filed under the name Dasypus novemcinctus (nine-banded armadillo). RNAcentral describes it as "lncRNA (ENSDNOG00000050196.1)". Lineage: Eukaryota; Metazoa; Chordata; Mammalia; Cingulata; Dasypodidae. The record is from RNAcentral.
GGUUUGUCUAUUUGAACAGUCCCCGCCUCCUGGAGAUGCCGGGUCCUGAGGCUUCACUUCUCCUUCAUUAUUGAUGGACUGUGUUCCUGCCUGUCUUAUUUUUCCGCCUGCCGAUUGGUCAUCGGGGCUGAAGGCCCGCCCCUCCCCUCCUCCCGGCUUAGAGGACCUCGGGGAAGGCGGGUGGUGGGAUCUGGGGCCUGAAGCGGCGAUACCGGCGCUGGUGGCGGCACCUGAGGCCUCGGCCGAAGCUGCGCGAGCCUCAGAGCAAGAUGCUUGGAACUGGACCUGCCGCCGCCACCACAGCUACCACCACAUCCAGCAAUGUGAGCGUCUUGCAGCAGUUUGCCAGUGGCCUGAAGAGCCGGAAUGAGGAGACCAGGGCCAAAGCUGCCAAGGAGCUCCAACACUAUGUCACCAUGGAGCUCCGAGAGGUUGGGGGCUUCUGUGAUUUGGGGCAAGUCAGUGUGGGGUGUUUGGGCUAAA